This 72-nucleotide transfer RNA is filed under the name Bos taurus (domestic cattle). It matches the Rfam family "tRNA". From Rfam's summary of the family: Transfer RNA (tRNA) molecules are approximately 80 nucleotides in length. Their secondary structure includes four short double-helical elements and three loops (D, anti-codon, and T loops). Further hydrogen bonds mediate the characteristic L-shaped molecular structure. tRNAs have two regions of fundamental functional importance: the anti-codon, which is responsible for specific mRNA codon recognition, and the 3' end, to which the tRNAs corresponding amino acid is attached (by aminoacyl-tRNA synthetases). tRNAs cope with the degeneracy of the genetic code in two manners: having more than one tRNA (with a specific anti-codon) for a particular amino acid; and 'wobble' base-pairing, i.e. permitting non-standard base-pairing at the 3rd anti-codon position. Lineage: Eukaryota; Metazoa; Chordata; Mammalia; Artiodactyla; Bovidae. The record is from Rfam by way of RNAcentral. RNAcentral also lists the same sequence under 5 other names.
UCUCUCAUAGCUCAGUCGGUAAAGAAUCUGCCUGCAAUGCAGGAGACCUGGGUUUGAUUCCUGGUUCAGGAA